UGGACUUUUUCUCUACCUUUGAAUCCACUCCAACGCAAUGACAGUGGUCGAUAUUUUUGUAAAGUGUUCCUGGCGAUACCUGAGGCAAAAUUUCUGGGCAACGGAAGUGGCACAUUUCUCACAGUAGUAGCAGCAAAUUCAACGUCACUUGGAGCCAAAGAUGAGCCCUCUCCAGUUGUAGUUUGGACAUCAGUGUUGGCGGCCGUUUUGUUCGUGGGAACAGGUUGUGUGAUCUACUGCAAACGUAAAGGGGAAAAAAGAAAGGAUGGGAUAGAGGAGCGAUGCCGUGAACAGAUGACACGAAAAGGAAGUGGGAACAGCAGAGCCGAUUCUAAUGGACGGGAUUCGGAGUCACAAGCAACUGCUGCCCUGCCCGCACCGGUUGAGACUGAGGUCCUUUACGCAAAACUCAACAUUCCAUGCUGUCCAAACGCUCAUGAGAAA
Megalops cyprinoides (Indo-Pacific tarpon) is the source of this 444-nucleotide long non-coding RNA. RefSeq lists it as uncharacterized. The transcript has 5 exons. Lineage: Eukaryota; Metazoa; Chordata; Actinopteri; Elopiformes; Megalopidae. The record is from RefSeq and is a predicted model, not a curated record.